RNAcentral lists this ribosomal RNA (813 nucleotides) under uncultured bacterium. RNAcentral describes it as "bacterial SSU rRNA". It matches the Rfam family "Bacterial small subunit ribosomal RNA", at positions 51 to 869 of the family's 1533-position model. The record is from RNAcentral.
ACACAUGCAGUCGAGCGGGGAAGAGUAGCUUGCUACUUUACCUAGCGGCGGACGGGUGAGUAAUGCUUAGGAAUCUGCCUAUUAGUGGGGGACAACAUCUCGAAAGGGAUGCUAAUACCGCAUACGUCCUACGGGAGAAAGCAGGGGACCUUCGGGCCUUGCGCUAAUAGAUGAGCCUAAGUCGGAUUAGCUAGUUGGUGGGGUAAAGGCCUACCAAGGCGACGAUCUGUAGCGGGUCUGAGAGGAUGAUCCGCCACACUGGGACUGAGACACGGCCCAGACUCCUACGGGAGGCAGCAGUGGGGAAUAUUGGACAAUGGGGGGAACCCUGAUCCAGCCAUGCCGCGUGUGUGAAGAAGGCCUUUUGGUUGUAAAGCACUUUAAGCGAGGAGGAGGCUACCGAGAUUAAUACUCUUGGAUAGUGGACGUUACUCGCAGAAUAAGCACCGGCUAACUCUGUGCCAGCAGCCGCGGUAAUACAGAGGGUGCAAGCGUUAAUCGGAUUUACUGGGCGUAAAGCGCGCGUAGGUGGCCAAUUAAGUCAAAUGUGAAAUCCCCGAGCUUAACUUGGGAAUUGCAUUCGAUACUGGUCGGCUAGAGUAUGGGAGAGGAUGGUAGAAUUCCAGGUGUAGCGGUGAAAUGCGUAGAGAUCUGGAGGAAUACCGAUGGCGAAGCAGCCAUCUGGCCUAAUACUGACACUGAGUGCGAAAGCAUGGGNGCAAACAGGAUUAGAUACCCUGGUAGUCAUGCGUAAACGAUGUCUACUAGCGUUGGGGCUUUGAGCUUUAGUGCGCAGCUACGCGAUAAGUAGAC